CACCGCGGUUAUACGAGAGACUCAAGCUGACAAUCACCGGCGUAAAGAGUGGUUAAUUUUACCAAAAAAUAAAGCCGAACGCCUCCAAAGUUGUAUUACGCAUUCGGAGGUAUGAAGCCCAAUCACGAAAGUGGCUUUACACUCUUUGAAUCCACGAGAGCUAGGAAA
RNAcentral lists this ribosomal RNA (168 nucleotides) under Apogon guadalupensis (Guadalupe cardinalfish). RNAcentral describes it as "partial small subunit ribosomal RNA". Lineage: Eukaryota; Metazoa; Chordata; Actinopteri; Kurtiformes; Apogonidae. The record is from RNAcentral.